This is a non-coding RNA of Pimephales promelas (fathead minnow), 973 nucleotides long. The record is from RefSeq and is a predicted model, not a curated record. Lineage: Eukaryota; Metazoa; Chordata; Actinopteri; Cypriniformes; Leuciscidae.
UUGAGCCUCAAAAACGCCAUCGCCGUGUAAACGAAAGGCACAUCCGAUAAAAUAUUUUUACGUUUUCAACCGCGAGCAAUCUCGUGUUAACAGGGCCUAAGGACGGGAAUCCGAUUGAGGAACACCCCAGAAAUGGCUCGGCUACGAUGUUCCGAUAAAGAAGUCACGCCGGGUGUUGAAUAUUGUCAGAUUCAGAUGCAUCAAUGAGAGUCAGUAAUGCAGUGGAUAACUAUGAGGAUGAUCACAUCCACAUGCCCCACAGCUGUGAUGCAGAAUCACAAUGGGAGGAUCAAUCUGUCUUUGGCCACAACCUGAUCUUAUCAGAGAGACUCUCCAGCGUCUUGAUGCUCUUUAGCGAAAGUAUGAGCAGCACAGACUAACGUUACAUGAAGAAUCUUACAACGCUUCGAAAAGAAUAAAAAAGGCACAUGACGUGAACAUUGCGGAAUCUGUAAGGCGCCUCCAUAAUUCAGAGAACAACCCACACAAAUACGUUCCACAAACCAGAAUAAAUUCAUCACAUAACCUGGCUGUGACCACUUACCUCUUCGAAGAAUUAAGGUCAACUUUUACAGACGUUGACCCUGAAUGUGUAAAAGCAGGUUGGAAGAUGUAUUUUGAGACUUUGCGGAGGAAGUAUUCUUUGGCUCAGCCUGAAAAGGCCCAGAAAAGAAAAACUAUGACGAGCGUUGCAAAGAACCUUCAAAGAAAGCGACUGUUGCUGGAGACCAGGUCCGGGGUUGUACAAACCAACACAGAAAAGGAACUUUGGAAGACCGCAACAAUAGAACUGAUGUCUGAUGAAGAUGAAGAUGAUGCUAUUGUUGAUGGAAGGCCAGUGUGAAUGGUGAGGUCUCCACCAAUCUGCUCUCUGCUAGGUACUAUAAAACAGACUAGAGGCUGACCCACACUAUGCGUCACACCACCAGCGUAUCAUGGCAGUUUGAAAAAUGUUAACUCGUAUAAAAAAAAA